Rosa rugosa (rugosa rose) is the source of this 827-nucleotide long non-coding RNA. RefSeq lists it as uncharacterized. The transcript is spliced from 2 exons. NCBI's taxonomy places the organism in Eukaryota, Viridiplantae, Streptophyta, Magnoliopsida, Rosales, Rosaceae. The record is from RefSeq and is a predicted model, not a curated record.
UGGCAUUUGAGCCCGAAACCCGCAAACCCGCCCGAAACCCGCACGGAAAAAGCCCGCACGAACCCGUCCAAUUAUUAAUUCGGGCUGAGAAAAGCCCGCACGCCAAAAACCCGUAAAUUAACGGGCCGGGUUGUGCUAAACCCGUUAGGCCCGUUGGAACCCGUUAAGUAAUUUCUGAAAAUUAAAACCCUUUCUACUCUGCUGAAAGAAAGCGAUCCAUGACAGACUCUUUGCCGUGUUCUCUGCCUCUCUCGUAGAGUCCAUGACUGCAUCUCUCUCUUCUUCAUCCAAACCCACAAUUUCAGAGCGAGAGAGAUCUGAGCUGGGAUUGGGUUCUGAAGUGCUUAUUGGGAUUUGGGUGGAAACAAGGUAGUGAAGAUGAGUACAAAUGAUGAGUCCCAAUUUAUAUCUACGGAGGAAAGAGGAGAAGAUGUAACAGGAAAUGUACAAAGAGAUGAUUUGCCUUCUAGAAGAAAGAAGAGGAAGAAGAGUUCUCAAUGUUGGUUGUCUUUUGAGGAAAUUCCUUUGGGUGAGGAUUUGAUUGAGCGUGCUGAAUUGGAGGAUCUUACUGAAGACGUAUUUGAUUUGACAUUGCAAGAUAGAUCCGGAGAAGGAGAUAGCCGCAAUUAAGAUGAUUUUGACGUAUUUUAUUUAGUAAAUUAAAUAUGUAUUUUAUUUAGUACAUUAAAUAUGUAUUUUAUUCAGUACAUUAAAUAUGUAUUUUAUUCAGUACAUUAAAUAUGUAUUUCGAACCUAUUUCAAUCUUUGUAGCUACUAUUAUCAUUGAUGCUAUUUCAUCAAAGAAUGAAUCAAUUUACGGGUUCCAA